UACGUAGGGUGCGAGCGUUGUCCGGAAUUAUUGGGCGUAAAGGGCUCGUAGGCGGUCUGUUGCGUCGGGAGUGAAAACUCAGGGCUUAACCCUGAGCCUGCUUCCGAUACGGGCAGACUAGAGGUAUGCAGGGGAGAACGGAAUUCCUGGUGUAGCGGUGAAAUGCGCAGAUAUCAGGAGGAACACCGGUGGCGAAGGCGGUUCUCUGGGCAUUACCUGACGCUGAGGAGCGAAAGUGUGGGGAGCGGACAGG
Molecule: ribosomal RNA, 253 nt
Filed under: uncultured bacterium
Lineage: Bacteria
Description: partial 16S ribosomal RNA
Rfam family: Bacterial small subunit ribosomal RNA
Source: RNAcentral